Molecule: ribosomal RNA, 803 nt
Filed under: uncultured eukaryote
Lineage: Eukaryota
Description: bacterial SSU rRNA
Rfam family: Eukaryotic small subunit ribosomal RNA
Source: RNAcentral
GUUAAACUGCUCGUAGUCGUGUUUCUGUUCGGUUCGGUCGGUCCGCCCAUGGGGUGUGCAUCGGUCGGACUGUGCAUAUAAGUGAACAUGCUGCCCGUAUUCAUGUGUAGCUCACGUGUUCAAAUCGUUUACUUUGAGGAAAUUGAAGUGCUUCGAGCAUGCGUAUGCAUCGCACGCGAUAGCAUGGAAUAGCAAUAUAUGACCGCUGCAAUAUAUUGUUGGUUUUUAGGCUGCGGUAAUGACCGAUAGGAAUAAUUUGUGGUAUUUGUAUUUAGCAGUCAGAGGUGAAAUUCUUGAAUUUGCUAAAGACACACUAUUGCGAAAGCAUUUGCCAAAUAUGUCUUCAUUGAUCAAGAACUAAAGUUAGGGGAUCGAAGACGAUCAGAUACCGUCCUAGUCUUAACAAUAAACAAUGCCGGCUAGGAAUUGUAAGCCUUCAAAUGUGUGAUCUUUUCAGCGCUUUCUGACAAAUCAAAGCAUUUGGGCUCCGGGGGGAGUAUGGUCGCAAGGCUGAAACUUAAAGGAAUUGACGGAAGGGCACCACCAGGAGUGGAGCCUGCGGCUUAAUUUGACUCAACACGGGGAAACUUACCAGGUCCUGACAUAAUAAGGAUUGACGGAAUGAUUGUUUAUUCUUGAUUAUAUGGGUGGUGGUGCAUGGCCGUUCUUAGUUGGUGGAGUGAUUUGUCUGGUUAAUUUCGUUAACGAACGAGACCUUGACCUGCUAAACAAUUAGACAUAACUUAGGCUAUGUUACAAGCUCCUUAGAGGGACGUUGUGCGUUUAGUGCAAUGAAGUUUUAG